This 253-nucleotide ribosomal RNA is filed under the name uncultured bacterium. RNAcentral describes it as "partial 16S ribosomal RNA". It matches the Rfam family "Bacterial small subunit ribosomal RNA", at positions 524 to 776 of the family's 1533-position model. The record is from RNAcentral.
UACGUAGGAGGCAAGCGUUGUCCGGAUUUACUGGGCGUAAAGCGCGCGCAGGCGGCACGUCAGGUACGGAGUGAAAUCUCCCUGCCUAACGGGGAGGGUGCUCUGUAGACUGGCGAGCUAGAGGACGGUAGAGGGGGGUAGAAUUGCUGGUGUAGCGGUGAAAUGCGUAGAGAUCAGCAGGAAUACCCGUGGCGAAGGCGGCCCCCUGGGCCGUAUCUGACGCUGAGGCGCGAAGGCUAGGGGAGCGAACGGC